GAGUGGCGCACGGGUGAGUAACACGUGGGUAAUCUACCUUUCGGGUCUGGGACAACUCCGGGAAACUGGAGCUAAUACCGGAUGAGACCACGAGGUCCUCGGACUUCGCGGGAAAAGAUGGCCUCUCCUUGGAAGCUAUCGCCCGUAGAUGAGCCCGCGCCCCAUUAGCUAGUUGGUGAGGUAACGGCUCACCAAGGCGACGAUGGGUAGCUGGUCUGAGAGGACGACCAGCCACACUGGAACUGAGACACGGUCCAGACUCCUACGGGAGGCAGCAGUCGGGAAUUUUGGGCAAUGGGCGAAAGCCUGACCCAGCAACGCCGCGUGAGGGAUGAAGGCCCUCGGGUCGUAAACCUCUGUCGGGAGGGAAGAACGGUUGCAAGGUGAACAAUCUUGGAACCUGACGGUACCUCCAAAGGAAGCGCCGGCUAACUCCGUGCCAGCAGCCGCGGUAAUACGGAGGGCGCAAGCGUUGUUCGGAAUCAUUGGGCGUAAAGCGCGUGUAGGCGGCUUGGCAAGUCGGGUGUGAAAUCCCGGGGCUCAACCCCGGAACUGCAUUCGAUACUGCCUCGCUAGAGUCCCGGAGAGGAGGGCGGAAUUCCCGGUGUAGAGGUGAAAUUCGUAGAUAUCGGGAGGAACACCAGUGGCGAAGGCGGCCCUCUGGACGGUGAC
Molecule: ribosomal RNA, 672 nt
Filed under: uncultured bacterium
Lineage: Bacteria
Description: bacterial SSU rRNA
Rfam family: Bacterial small subunit ribosomal RNA
Source: RNAcentral